UACGUAGGGUGCGAGCGUUAAUCGGAAUUACUGGGCGUAAAGCGUGCGCAGGCGGUUUUGUAAGCCAGAUGUGAAAGCCCCGGGCUUAACCUGGGAAUGGCAUUUGGGACUGCAAGGCUUGAGUGCGGCAGAGGAGACUGGAAUUCCUGGUGUAGCAGUGAAAUGCGUAGAUAUCUGGAGGAACACCGGUGGCGAAGGCGGCAUCCUGGACCAACACUGACGCUGAGGAGCGAAAGCCAGGGGAGCAAACGGG
RNAcentral lists this ribosomal RNA (253 nucleotides) under uncultured bacterium. RNAcentral's name for it is "partial 16S ribosomal RNA". It matches the Rfam family "Bacterial small subunit ribosomal RNA", at positions 524 to 776 of the family's 1533-position model. The record is from RNAcentral.